RNAcentral lists this long non-coding RNA (563 nucleotides) under Daphnia pulicaria. RNAcentral describes it as "uncharacterized LOC124338595, transcript variant X3". The record is from RNAcentral. Lineage: Eukaryota; Metazoa; Arthropoda; Branchiopoda; Diplostraca; Daphniidae.
GUCGGAGACAUUCUUAUAGAUUUAUUUGUGUUUGUUAACCGUCAUGCUCCAUGCUGUUUAGCGGAUUUGAGGCCAGAACCAGCCAUCAUAACCACACAAUAUGCAAGUUUUACUUGUGCAUGUGUUAACCUGUCACCAGCAACAAUCUCAGGAUCAUCGCUUGGAUAGAAAGCAGCCCUGUCAACUGAAUGUGACAUUUUCAAUCGAGUUACAGAUCUAUCUUUUUUCCCUUUCUUCAAAUGUCCUCGUGUAUGCCCAUGUGAAUGUGGGUGCAUUCACGAGGACACCCUUUUAGGCUUUUACCCUAUCCCGUCUGGUGACUGGUGACAUUCAACUCUUCAUCGGAUGGAUGGAGCAACUGUAGAUGCCUGGCUGUAUUUCCCAGGCAUAAAGGUAGGACAAAAUUGAUCUCUAUUCUUCCUUUUUGGCAAUUUUUGGUGGCGUUGAUUGUAAAUCGUUACGUAGUCACGGAGUACGUUUAUUCCUGAGCUAGGCGGUCGACUGCUGCAACUGUUUUCUCUCUCCGUUUUUGUUUUUUUCUCAGUAAGGGUUCACUAAAAAUC